RNAcentral lists this ribosomal RNA (249 nucleotides) under uncultured bacterium. RNAcentral's name for it is "partial 16S ribosomal RNA". It matches the Rfam family "Bacterial small subunit ribosomal RNA", at positions 524 to 771 of the family's 1533-position model. The record is from RNAcentral.
AACGUAGGAGACAAACGUUAUCCGGAGUUACUGGGCGUAAAGGGCGUGUAGGUGGUUUCGUAAGUCCGGCGUGAAAUUUUUCGGCUUAACCGGGAAAGGUCGUCGGAUACUGCGGAACUAGAGGACGGUAGAGGCGUGUGGAAUUCCGGGUGUAGUGGUGAAAUGCGUAGAGAUCCGGAGGAACACCAGUGGCGAAGGCGACACGCUGGGCCGUACCUGACACUGAUGCGCGACAGCAUGGGGGAGCAA